UGGAAACACAUGGGUAUUGCACAAGG
RNAcentral lists this non-coding RNA (26 nucleotides) under Mus musculus (house mouse). Lineage: Eukaryota; Metazoa; Chordata; Mammalia; Rodentia; Muridae. The record is from RNAcentral.